UACGGGGGGGGCAAGCGUUGUUCGGAAUUACUGGGCGUAAAGGGCUCGUAGGCGGCCAACUAAGUCAUACGUGAAAUCCCUCGGCUUAACCGGGGAACUGCGUGUGAUACUGGAUGGCUGGAGUUUGGGAGAGGGAUGCGGAAUUCCAGGUGUAGCGGUGAAAUGCGUAGAUAUCUGGAGGAACACCGGUGGCGAAGGCGGCAUCCUGGACCAAUACUGACGCUGAGGAGCGAAAGCCAGGGGAGCAAACGGG
RNAcentral lists this ribosomal RNA (253 nucleotides) under uncultured bacterium. RNAcentral's name for it is "partial 16S ribosomal RNA". It matches the Rfam family "Bacterial small subunit ribosomal RNA", at positions 524 to 776 of the family's 1533-position model. The record is from RNAcentral.